CAAUUUUUGAGAAAGGCUUUGUUGUGGGAGAACUUUUUAUAAAGAUCUCCUUAGUUAAAUUUUGGCGUGGAAGUGCGUAUUCAGUCUGUGGAAUUCGUAUUUCCGGGUAUGUUUCUUAUUUAAUUUUUGUAAUGUUAUUAUUUUUAAUUGUUAGUUAAAGUUUGAAUUUUUGAAGUUUAGUUAGUGUUGUUAAUAAACUAGUUAGUUUACUAUGUUUAUUUUGGCUUGGAAUUGAUUAUGUAAAUGAGUUAUUUGUGAUGACUUUUAAUAUUUUGUGAUGAAUUUCAUUAAUUAAUAAUUAUUAAUGAUAUUAAAGUUAUUUAAUGAUUAUAUUAAAUAAUUUAGUUUAAAAAUGAUUUUAAUAUUAUAAAAAUCAUUUUAAAUGAAAAUAAGGUAUUUAAAAAUAUUUUAAGUUAUAAAAUAUAACUUUUAAUAUUUAAAUGAUAAUUUCAUUAAUAAUUAAAUAUUAAUGAUAUUAAGAUAAUAUUAAUGAUAUUUAGUUUAUUUAAUGAUUAAUAUUAAAUAAAUAGUUUAAAAAUGGUUUUACUUAUUUAAAAACCAUUUAAAGAGGAUAUUAAGGAUUUAAAAAUAUUUUAAGUUAUAAUUAAUGACUUUUAAUAUUUGGAUAAAUAGUACAUUAAUAUUUAAAUAUUAAUGGUAAUUAUUUGGGUAAUAUAAAUGUUUUAAAAAUAGUUUGAGUUAUUAUAAAUAACUUUUAUAUUUUGGCAAUGGUUUCAUUAAUAGUUUAGUAUUAAUUAAACUAUUAAUGAUAAUGGAAUUGUUUAAUGUUUAAAUCAUUUAAUUAUGAUUCCGAUAUUUGAAAGUUAUAGCCGGCCAAACUAGCUGACUUGAGAACCGAUUAUGAAGUUCUGAAUUUGAAGAAGAACACCUAUAGUAACAGUUAUAUCACUAUAGGCCCUUUAGUGACAGAUUUGAAUUAUUUUAAAUUUUUCAAUUUCUGGAAAUUGCGAAAAUGAUUAAAAAUAAGAUGUCUGAUAUUUACAGAUGUUGAGGUAUAGAAUAAGAGUCUUAGACUCAGUAUUUACCCGAUAAAGCUGUCGGUACGCCGACAAAUGUCAGACCUUAUAAAAGAAAGAAAAGACUACUGUAAGAGCAUGGAUGAGAUAUUUGAAAAAUGUAUAAAAAUAUUUCAAGUAUAGAAUAGGAACUAAAAGUAUGAUCACUGUGAUUAUGUGAUUAGACUAUGUGCUGACUGUAAUAGACAGUACUAUGUGUUAAGAUAUAUUGUUCUAAUCGAACGAAUGAUCUGAUUAUUGAUAGGUUGUGAUAAAGAGAUAAAACCUAAGUUGAGAUUUGUAAUCAGCGAAUCAGGCAAGUAUCCUACCUUUGCACUUCCUUUAUGCAAUGGACAUGAGUAAGAAGUUUCAGAAUUAUUCUAUCCCUGUACAGAUUAUGUACUCUUUGAUUAUCGACAUGUUAGCUCAGAUAUAUAUUCUGUUCAUUGAUUUCUAUAAAUGGUUAUACAAGUGUCCCCACUUGGAUAAUCAUGGCAUUUGUUCACAUGUUGAUACACCUUUGUCAAUUACCCGUAUAUAUAUGUUGAAUUACAUAUUAUUGUUGAGCAAGAUUAAAAACCUUCGGGUUUGGAACCAGGCAUGUAUGAACAUCCCUAUAUGGGAAGAUUUUUGCGCAAGGCGGAUAGAGUGAGCGAUGAAUUUCGUUCAAGUUAUGUAGUAUUGAUCAAUACAGGGUACAACGGGGCUGAUCACCCUCCGUGCCCGUAAGUUAUGACGGUUUGAGGAUAGAAUUCCGCUAAACCUUUUCGAAAAUGAAAAGAAUGUUCAUAGUAUGUUUCUUAAACCCUAUUCAAGGGUAGAGCCAGAGCCAAAUUUAAAGAAUUUGAAAGAGAGUUGUUAUGUGAAUUUUUUAUCAGUACAGAUUACUUCACAACUUUCAAUUCGUUGUAGAAGUGUUAUGUAAAGAGAAUACUUAUAUUCUUUCAGCUUAUAUAUAAUUGCUAUUACUUGCUGGGCACUUAAAUGCUCAUCCUUGCUUAAAUUAAAUGUUUUCAGUUAUGUAUGAGCAACCUGAAGGCUCAGGCACGAACAAAGGAAAAGGAAAGCUAAUCGAAUAAGUGUGUAUUAUGAGUUAAUGGUUAUAGUUGUAUUGGUAUCUAUUCAAGUAUUGUAAGGAAUGUAUUUGAAGGUCACGUACCUGGGGAAGUAAACUUUGAUGUAUGUAAAUUAAGUUCGAAUUAUUAUUAUUUAGUAUUAUUCAGCUUAAAGAAAUGGUAUCGUGGAG
This 2262-nucleotide long non-coding RNA is filed under the name Panax ginseng (ginseng). Its description in RNAcentral is "long non-coding RNA (PGIN_LNC011484)". The record is from RNAcentral. Lineage: Eukaryota; Viridiplantae; Streptophyta; Magnoliopsida; Apiales; Araliaceae.